Molecule: long non-coding RNA, 2925 nt
Filed under: Salmo salar (Atlantic salmon)
Lineage: Eukaryota; Metazoa; Chordata; Actinopteri; Salmoniformes; Salmonidae
Description: lncRNA (ENSSSAG00000122072.1)
Source: RNAcentral
CACCAUUUAGUUUAAACGAAAACAUGGGGGUUUGGCCCAGCCACAGCCGCUGGUCUGCCCUUGGGGAAAUGUGUGUCUUUCUGCUAAAUCCCACCCACUCAAACAACCUUUGUUGUGCCUUGCUCUGAGAGCCAGUGGAGUGAGAGGAAGCAACUCUAGCUGCUAUUACUGCUGCAAGACUCAAACACAGCAGACACAGCCAACACGCAUUGGCAAGUGACAAAUUCACAAAUAAAUGGCCAACGUUCUCCUAUUCAGAUGACAUCCUGUGACUAAUGAGGUCUGGCCGCCAGACAACCUGCCCGCUCGACCACAUCUCCUCCUCCCUUCUCCAGACCAUCUCUGGAGACCUUCUCUUAUUCCUCUCCGCCCUCAUCAACUCACCCCUGACCACUGGCAGUGUUCCCUCUGACUUCGAAAUGUUGCUCCUCUCCACAAGAAACCAACAGUCGACUCAACUGAUGUCAAAAACUAUAGACCCGUAUCACUUUUUUUCUUUACAAAACUGUCUCUGAUGAACUUUUUUGUUAUUUCUCUCAAAAUGAUCUACCUGACCCAAACCAGUCAGGCUUGAAGAUGGGUCACUCAACCGAGACUGCUCUUCUCUGUGUUUACGGAGGAUCUCCGCAUUGGCAAAGCUGACUCUCUCCUCUGUUCUCAUCCUCCUCUUUCAAUAAUAGUGUUGCCCUGAAUUGGUGACAUCCAACACAUCUCAGUGGAAAAAGGAAUAUGGAAUGCCUGGUCGAUGCUUGAUGAGAAGGAUAUUUUUUAAAUAUUUCAGUCUAUUGUGAAUCAUUAAUCCAUACACAGGUAAGAGUAUAGAGUUAAAAUAGCUACAUAUCUAGUCACAUCCCAGUUAGCAAUGAGCAAUCGGCAGGCAGGUAGCCCUCAAAUAAUUCUGCCAUGCAGACAGUAAACUUGAUCGGUGGCCUUACUGGCAGGGUGCCAGUUUUUAAAUGAACAUUUAUUUGCCAGAGAUGCAAAUCAACUCAUCAGAGAUGCAAAUUGCAUCAUAACAGCAAACUGCUUAUCCUUCACUCUGCGGUCCAACUCAUCUCAAACCAUCUUGAACUCAAAAUAAAUCACAGACAGUGUCACCAGCAAAGCACCCCCACACCAUCACACAUCCUCCUCCAUGCUUCACGGUGGGAACCACACAUGCUGAGAUCAUCUUUUCACCUACCCUGUGUCUCACAAGACACAGUGGUUAGAACCAAAAAUCUCAAAUAUAAACUCAUCAGACCAAUGGACAGAUUUCCACCGGUCUAAUGUCUAUUGCUCGUGUUUCUUGGCCCAAGCAAGUCUCUUCUUCUUAUUGGUGUCCUUUAGUAGUGGUUUCUUUGCAGAUGUGUCUGUUACUUGAACUCUGUGAAGCAUCUGAGGUGCAGUUAUUAAGUCUAAUGAACUUAUCUUCUGCAGCAGAGGUAACUCUGGGUCUUCCUUUUCCAGUGGCGGUCCUCAUGAGAGCCAGUUUCAUCAUAAUGCUUGAUGGUUUUUGCGACUGCACUUGAAGAAACUUUUACAUUUUCCGUAUUGAAAAUGUUUUCCGUAUUGAAAAUGAUCUUGACAUUUUCCAUAUUGACUGACCUUCAUGUCUUAAAGUAAUGAUGGACUGUUGUUUCUCUUUGCUUAUUUGAGCUGUUCUUGACAUAAUAUGGACUUGGUCUUUUACCAUAUAGGGCUAUCUUCUGUGUACACAUUAAGAAGGAAAGAAAUUCCACAAAUUAACUUUUAACAAGGCACACCUGUUAAUUGAAAUGCAUUCCAGGUGACUACCUCAUAAAUCUGGUUGAGAGAAUGCCAAGAGUGUGCAAAGCUGUCAUCAAGGCAAAGGGUGGCUACUUUGAAGAAUCUCAAAUAUUAAAUAUAUAUUUGAUUUGUUUAUCACUUUGUUUUUGAUUACUACAUGAUUCCAUAUGUGUUAUUUCAUAGUUUUGAUGUCUUCACUUUUGUAGAAAAUAGUAAAAAUAAAGAAAAACCCUGGAAUGAGUAGGUGAGUGCAAACAUUUGACUGGUACUGUACAUAGCCUUGUCCUGCCAACAGACUUUUCUGAAUAACAUCCUAUUCUCAACAGCAGAAAUAUGACAAACAUAUAUCUGGCCAUGUAAAUUCCUAAUUCAGCCUACAUAGAUAUUACAUACAGCACAUACAGUAGACAUUACACAUGAUAUACAUAACAAACAGACUCAUACAAGCAGAGAGGGGGGAGAGAGCGAGAGAGAGAGAGAGAGAGAGAGAGAGAGAGAGAGAGAGAGAGAGAGAGAGAGAGAGAGAGAGAGAGAGAGAGAGUAUUGCAAAGUGUCACAAAGUAUUGCAAAGUAGUAUGGGUUGCACCUCCGUCACAUGGUCGAGUCAUUGGUCGAGUCAUUGACAUUGUUACGCAUCAUGUAAUCAAGUCACUAAACCUCGAGUCAGAGUGCGAGUUAUCAAUGGUUGAAUCACGAGUCGAGUCACGAGUCUCUAUGGUUGAAGUUCGAGUCGCAGAGUUCGAGUCACUGGGUCCACGUUAACUCAAAAUAAAGUAAUUUAUUAACCAGUCAGAUGUAGUGCAGUGGCAAGAGGAAUUUAGUCAAUUCAUUGUUUCCUAUUUUGCAAUACUAUACAUAGCCCAUCUCUAAACAGCCCAUCUAUCUACCUACCUCAUCCCCAUACUGUAUUUAUUUAUUUAUCUUGCUCCUUUGCACCCCAGUAUCUCUACUUACACAUUCAUCUUCUGCACAUCUACCAUUCCAGUAUUUAAUUGCUAUAUUGUAAUUACUUCGCCACCAUGGCCUAUUUAUUGCCUUAACUUACCUCAUUUGCACUCACUGUAUAUAGACUUUUUCUUUUCUUUUCUUCUACUGUAUUAUUGACUGUAUGUUUUGUUUAUUCCAUGUGUAACUCUGUGUUGUUGUAUGUGUCGAAUUGCUAUGCUUUAUCUUGGC